This 301-nucleotide ribosomal RNA is filed under the name uncultured bacterium. Its description in RNAcentral is "partial 16S ribosomal RNA". It matches the Rfam family "Bacterial small subunit ribosomal RNA", at positions 509 to 807 of the family's 1533-position model. The record is from RNAcentral.
CAGUAGCCACGGGAAUACGAAGGGGGCUAGCGUUGUUCGGAUUUACUGGGCGUAAAGGGCGCGUAGGCGGGCGAAUAAGUCAGGGGUGAAAUCCCAAGGCUCAACCUUGGAACUGCCUUUGAUACUGUUUGUCUUGAGUUCGAGAGAGGUAAGUGGAACUGCGAGUGUAGAGGUGAAAUUCGUAGAUAUUCGCAAGAACACCAGUGGCGAAGGCGGCUUACUGGCUCGAAACUGACGCUGAGGCGCGAAAGCGUGGGGAGCGAACAGGAUUAGAUACCCCGGUAGUCCCUGUCUCUUAUAC